GUGCAUCUAUGACAGACCUGCAGCGGUCACUACCUGCUGCUCAGGUUCCAGUGCAGAUGCAACAGGAAAGGGUCCUCGCGCUUUCUGACUGUCUGAUUGUGGCAGCCGAGAUUGAAUAGGGGAAUACAAAA
This is a small nucleolar RNA of Artibeus jamaicensis (Jamaican fruit-eating bat), 131 nucleotides long. RefSeq annotates it as small nucleolar RNA SNORA31. Lineage: Eukaryota; Metazoa; Chordata; Mammalia; Chiroptera; Phyllostomidae. The record is from RefSeq and is a predicted model, not a curated record. The transcript has a single exon.